GACGAACGCUGGCGGCGUGCCUAAUACAUGCAAGUCGAGCGGUGAAGAUUGGUGCUUGCACCAAUUUGGAGAGCAGCGCGCGGGUGAGUAACGCGUGGGGAAUCUGCCUUUUAGCGGGGGACAACAUUUGGAAACGAAUGCUAAUACCGCAUAACAACUUUAAACAUAAGUUUUAAGUUUGAAAGAUGCAAUUGCAUCACUCAAAGAUGAUCCCGCGUUGUAUUAGCUAGUUGGUGGGGUAAAGGCUCACCAAGGCGAAGAUACAUAGCCGACCUGAGAGGGUGGACCGGCAACAUGGGAAUGGGACACGGGCCAAACCUCCACCGGAGGGAGCAGUUGGGAAUCUUUGGACAUGGGCGGAAGGCUGAACGCGGAAAGGCGGGGUGGGUGAGAAGGGUCUUGGGGUGGAAAAGUCCGUUGGUAGGGAAGGAAGUUGGUGGGAGUGGAACGGUCGUGAAGUGACGGUAACUGACCAGAAAGGGACGGCUAACUACGUG
RNAcentral lists this ribosomal RNA (497 nucleotides) under uncultured bacterium. Its description in RNAcentral is "partial 16S ribosomal RNA". It matches the Rfam family "Bacterial small subunit ribosomal RNA", at positions 28 to 507 of the family's 1533-position model. The record is from RNAcentral.